Molecule: long non-coding RNA, 1165 nt
Organism: Triticum aestivum (bread wheat)
Lineage: Eukaryota; Viridiplantae; Streptophyta; Magnoliopsida; Poales; Poaceae
Exons: 4
Source: RefSeq, a predicted model, not a curated record
AAAAAUAUCGCUCCCAAGUCGCAACCGACGUACUGCUAGGUGGCCAGGCCACCCAAUAGUUGGUUUGUUCGGUUCAGCUAUGUUGACUUCGCAUGCCCUUGAGCGAGCCACCCUCCCAAUAUCUAUCUUCUCCCGGUAGGGUUCGUCCGCCUAGCGGUCGCCGCCCACCGAGCUCCGGCUGCCGCCGCGCAUCUCCCCGGCUACACCACCUUGCGCGAUGUUUCCUUCGUCCAGAUCCGUGAGGCACCACGAGAUUGCUCGCGGCCCUCCUCCUCACACGGGCCUUCCCAACCCACCACCGGUGUCUCCAUCCACCGCUUCAUCAUCCACCCAGGCCGGUUUUCUAUUUCACUAAUGUCGAGUUGGGCAGGUCAGGCGGAUGGAUUGUGGGAGCUUCAUGUCUUGAAGGAGAGGACCGUGCGGGAGCUGCGGGAGGCCGCCAAGGCCCUCACCGUGCGCCGCGCCGCCGACAGGACGCACCAUGGUGGCACUGGACAGGGACGUCCGCCACUUGCAGGCCCGACCACCUUCCUCAAGCCCACCAUGGCCUGCUACUUAUUUGGUCGGACAAGCUAUGGAUUUCUGUGUUGCGAUUUGUGAGUCAAUCUUCAAGUGCCAUCACAACACCUGUAGUUGAUAUUCGUGCCGGGAUUUAGCCUGUUAAGACGUUCGCUCUGGACCUUGAUUUUUUUCAUGCUCUUCUAAUGAGUAAAAUUCAAGAAUGGUGGAUAUAGCAAGUCUGGAAAGGGCCAUCUGAAGCUUCUACCAAUCCACUAAAGAGAAGAUUUCUCAUGUUCGCCUUUUUCUGCCGGUCUCUUGAAGCCGAAGCUGAUUACUGUCUCAAGCAAGGUGGCAUUCGUGAAUCCAAAGGCUACAAUCUACCAACGUUUGGCGCAAGGGGCCAGGGGUCUAGAAACGAAGUAAUUAAACUGACUACCAAUCUGCAGUUGAACGCGACUGAAUUAGCAUGUGCCAUUUCUCAAAACAAACUGUGAAAAUAUCUUUGUGAUAAGAACCUACAUUGUUAAAAAGAAAAUGGGUUAUGCUCAUGGCAGAUAAAUGUCUUCACAAUUCUCAGAAUGUAACUGAAUUAGUACCAUUGUAGAUGACUAUCACUUGGACAAGCGGAUAUGACAUCAGUUGAGGAUUUGUUUUGUUUGCUUCA